AUGGGAACGCGAAGAACCUUACCUACUCUUGACAUCCAGAGAACUUUCCAGAGAUGGAUCGGUGCCUUCGGGAACUCUGAGACAGGUGCUGCAUGGCUGUCGUCAGCUCGUGUUGUGAAAUGUUGGGUUAAGUCCCGCAACGAGCGCAACCCUUAUCCUUUGUUGCCAGCGGUUCGGCCGGGAACUCAAAGGAGACUGCCAGUGAUAAACUGGAGGAAGGUGGGGAUGACGUCAAGUCAUCAUGGCCCUUACGAGUAGGGCUACACACGUGCUACAAUGGCGCAUACAAAGAGAAGCGACCUCGCGAGAGCAAGCGGACCUCAUAAAGUGCGUCGUAGUCCGGAUUGGAGUCUGCAACUCGACUCCAUGAAGUCGGAAUCGCUAGUAAUCGUAGAUCAGAAUGCUACGGUGAAUACGUUCCCGGGUC
This 427-nucleotide ribosomal RNA is filed under the name uncultured bacterium. RNAcentral's name for it is "bacterial SSU rRNA". It matches the Rfam family "Bacterial small subunit ribosomal RNA", at positions 954 to 1380 of the family's 1533-position model. The record is from RNAcentral.